RNAcentral lists this long non-coding RNA (296 nucleotides) under Hordeum vulgare. RNAcentral describes it as "long non-coding RNA (HVUL_LNC019326)". The record is from RNAcentral. Lineage: Eukaryota; Viridiplantae; Streptophyta; Magnoliopsida; Poales; Poaceae.
GGUUCAUACCGUGCGGUGUCCUCACCUAGUGACAGAAGGGGUAGCGAGGCACGCAUGGUGUUGUUGCCAUCAAGGGUAAAAAGAUGGGGUUUAUAUCAUAUUGCAUGAAUUUAUCCCUCUACAUCAUGUCAUCUUGCUUAAGGCGUUACUCUGUUUGUUAUGAACUCAAUACACUAGAUGCAUGCUGGAUAGCGGUCGAUGUGUGGAGUAAUAGUAGUAGAUGCAGACAGUAUCGGUCUACUUGUCUCGGACGUGAUGCCUAUAUGUAUGAUCAUUGCCUUAGAUAUUAUCAUGAC